UUCCGGUUGAUCCUGCCAGAGGUCACUGCUAUCGGGGUUCGAUUAAGCCAUGCGAGUCGAGAGGGUUCGGCCCUCGGCGUACUGCUCAGUAACACGUGGAUAACCUGCCCUAGGGGAGGGGAUAACCCCGGGAAACUGGGGAUAAUACCCUAUAGGUUACAGAUGCUGGAAUGCCCUGUAACCAAAAGCUCCGGCGCCCUAGGAUGGAUCUGCGGCCGAUUAGGUUGUUGUUGGGGUAACGGCCCAACAAGCCCGUAAUCGGUACGGGUUGUGGGAGCAAGAGCCCGGAGUUGGAUUCUGAGACACGAAUCCAGGCCCUACGGGGCGCAGCAGGCGCGAAACCUUUACAAUGCGGGCAACCGUGAUAAGGGAACCUCGAGUGCCUGUAAACGCAGGCUGUUCAGGUGUUUAAAACGCACCUGGAGAAAGGGCCGGGCAAGACCGGUGCCAGCCGCCGCGGUAAUACCGGCGGCUCGAGUGGUGGCCGCUUUUAUUGGGCUUAAAGCGUUCGUAGCUGGGUUGUUAAGUCUCUUGGGAAAUCUGGCGGCUUAACCGUCAGGCGUCUAAGGGAUACUGGCAAUCUUGGAACCGGGAGAGGUGAGGGGUACUUCGGGGGUAGGGGUGAAAUCCUGUAAUCCUCGAGGGACCACCUGUGGCGAAGGCGCCUCACCAGAACGGCUUCGACAGUGAGGGACGAAAGCUGGGGGAGCAAACCGGAUUAGAUACCCGGGUAGUCCCAGCCGUAAACGAUGCGCGUUAGGUGUAUCGGUGACCACGAGUUACCGAGGUGCCGAAGGGAAACCGUGAAACGCGCCGCCUGGGAAGUACGGUCGCAAGGCUGAAACUUAAGGAAUGGCGGGGGAGCACACACCGGGUGGAGCCUGCGGUUUAAUUGGAUUCACGCCGGA
This 908-nucleotide ribosomal RNA is filed under the name uncultured archaeon. RNAcentral's name for it is "bacterial SSU rRNA". It matches the Rfam family "Archaeal small subunit ribosomal RNA", at positions 1 to 922 of the family's 1478-position model. The record is from RNAcentral.